Molecule: long non-coding RNA, 2975 nt
Organism: Ictalurus punctatus (channel catfish)
Lineage: Eukaryota; Metazoa; Chordata; Actinopteri; Siluriformes; Ictaluridae
Source: Ensembl
CCAAAAUAACGCCAAGACUGUUUAAUAUGGAGAAAAUCACACUCAAAUGUGGCAGUAAGUCGGUAGUAAAGGGUUGUGUUUUCUGCAACGGCAAUGACUAUUCAUGGUGGAGAACUAGGGAACAAGAAGUUAAUAAAACGCCAGUAUAGUGAACAAUAGGGUACAUUGGCACGAAUAGGGUAAGCACGUUCAUUGUGAUUAUUUGCUUUUUAUACAAGGAAAAAAAACAUGCACUGGCACAAAAUUGGCAUUAAUUGGCAUGCACAAUUUAGUGAAAGCAUUUUGAACCCCAUUAUAAAAUAUUGAACACAUUAUAAAAUACUUGCAAUGUCAGUGAUGAAAGGGAUAUUCAAACAUAGGCACCCAUAGACUAUAAAUACUUGUGGAUUCUUAAAAUCAUUUUGGAUGGAGUUUAUUUUCCCCUUCAAAUUUACAAUCAAACUUACUUAGGCCUACACGGAACCCAUAUGUUAAAACUACAUGUUUGUUCAGGGAAUUGGCGUAGUAAUUGCAUUCAAGCAUAUUUUUAGUAGGCCUGUAGCCUGUAUGUGUGCUCUGAAUUUAGAUCUAAUGUAAUCAAUACCUUUGUCGUUGCAAGCAAGCUAUGCCAUAGAGGCUAUAAGGGCUUGACUAAAUUCCAAGAGGUUGCGUUAUCACAGCAUGUUCUCAGUAUUUCCUGAGGAUGUAAAGAAGGUACAGUUUAUUAGCUCACAAAAUAUCACUUGUAAAAGUUAACAGUCGACCCAUUGGUAAUAAUAAGAGGCCGUGUCACUAUCUUUCGUGACCAGAGCUCACAAGAGGUCAUUUACACAUGGAAUGCAUCAAGUCGAAUUGUAGCACAAACUCUGAAGAGGGUGUUCAUCCACCGAUCUAAAAAAAAAAAAAAAAAAAUUACUGUUAGGUAAGGUGAUGAUAGGUAAGGCCUUAACUGCCAUCCAUUCACCGGGGACAUCCAGUGGCAUUUGACCAGAACGUCAUGAACGUUGAAUGUUGAACGUUGAACAUGUCUUUGAAUAUGCUGUUCCUACAAAUGCGAGGAUAUUUACUCGAUACAUGCUUAGCACGACAUGCUGAAGUUUCUGAACAUGUUAAUGGUCAUCUGAAAACGACAGUGUGGAUCCACAGAAUUCGACGGUCUCAGCGACAGUCUCCCCCAUCUGGAUAAAAAAAGGAAUGGCAUCCCUGCUCUAAAUUCUGGAUACACCACGUGAAGGCAUAAGGAUUUGAUCUGAGCACCAACACGCUAAGGAAUGAUGAAAAAAGAAAGCCUAAAAUGGGUUUGAAGGUGGACUGCAUCAGACUCAGGAUAUGAAUCCUUGAAGAUAAACUAGAUGCUUUCUAUCAUGGCACCUUCAUCUGUUGUCUAUGUACACAUCAGAAGAAGAUAGCUUCUUCACUGGACUUCUCAAGAUUUCAUUUUCCACCGACACAUCAAGGCCACAGACAUGCGUUUUAUGUUACACAUAGGGGUCGUAUGUGCUUUUAGCAGUUUAACCAUUCAUGAAUUAAUGGGCUUAGGAAAACCUUGAGAAAGCAAACUCCAUAUCUGUCAGUGUGACCAGCAGUAGCUAUUCGAGACCAUGUAAAACAUAAUCUCUCCUACAACCUCUAAUACUACAGUGCAGUGAGUUGCAAAAUGUAUUCAGAAACUUUUAUUAGAACAUAAAUUGUAUGUAUUCGUAAGCAUAAACAAAUAUAUGUUUAAAAAGCAAAAUUGAAGGUAAAAAAAUUUCAGACACCUCAAAUUACCAAUGAUAGUAUAUUGCAAAGCUGCUGCUGGCAAUUAUAGCUUGUUUUAAACUGAUUUUUUUAUCUAUUGCUUUUUUUUUUUUUUGAACACUGGGCAAAGAAUGAUUAAAAGCAUUAGUAAUAAUUGAAUACUCACAGGACUGUUGGCAUAGCACUGAUUUUGACAGAUCUGUUUUGCCAAAAGGACAGACAUGAACAGGAAAGAAAAGUUAAUAAAAGACAUAAUUAUAACUUUGAUAUUUAGCUAAUAUAUUUACUGAAAUUGCAGCUGUGGUUUUUCAAAUAUUAUUUUAAAUCUCACCACAUUUACACCCAGCAGCCAGAUAUCGGUAAAUACGAUCCCUUAUUUGUGCCCUUGUGUGAGUGCCAGAUGGUUCAGGGUGUGGGUUUGUUUUGGGUGAUCAGCAAAGCCCUUGGCUCGAUAUUUCACAUAAGAGGUCUACUGACUUCCUGAAAUACCCACAAACUUGUGCCGCUAGUCAUCUGUCAUUUCAAUGAUUUUGUUGAAAGCUGCAUAAGUUAAGCCCCAUGUCUGCAUAAUACUCGUUUGUUUGUGAAGUUACACAAGGAUUCAUCAACCUUCAACUUUGUGGCAGGUAAUGCUGAAUAAAUGCAAUUUCAGUUUGUGGAAAAAAGUACAGUUAUAUUGCCAACAAAAAUACACAUUUAACCAGCUUCUGUUUUUAAGGUAAAUGCUCUGUUAAGUUUAGAUUAAAAAACAAAAACAAACAAAAAAAACAACCAUGAAGCAUGUCUGUGUUAAUAAUUGAUCAUCUCAUCCCAGUAAAAUCAUGUACCUAUUUAUACUACUUAUGUUAUCCAUAUAUGUAUAUAUUUCCCCAUUAAAGCCAUAUUUUCUGAUGGAAUAAGAAAAUUGUAUAAAUAUUUUCUUUUAGGUUAAUAGUUUUUUAUAUACAGAUGAUUAACAAUUCUCUUCUUUGUGUCUCUAUCUUUUUUGUUAGGCAGGCAAUAUUUGACAACAACUGUUCAUUUAUAAGGAAGUUCAGGACAGAAACUGAUGCUCUAGAAAGCACACCACACUCUGAACAUUAGAAAGCAGUUUUAUAUAUUUUAGUGCUUUUCCGAUUCUAUGUUACAGUUUCAAUUAUUAAAUGCUCAGGAGUGAUCCAGAAACAAGGGGGUUUCCACUGUUUGAGUGAUAAACGAUAUGUUACGAUAUGUUAUUAUGUCCCAGAGGAAUGAAUGUGAAAAUCUGAUGCAGGUAG